This 440-nucleotide ribosomal RNA is filed under the name uncultured bacterium. Its description in RNAcentral is "partial 16S ribosomal RNA". It matches the Rfam family "Bacterial small subunit ribosomal RNA", at positions 338 to 795 of the family's 1533-position model. The record is from RNAcentral.
CCUACGGGAGGCAGCAGUGGGGAAUAUUGCACAAUGGGGGGAACCCUGAUGCAGCGACGCCGCGUGGGGGAUGGAGCGUUUCGGCUUGUAAACCCCUAUCGGCAGUGAAGAAGAUGACGGUAUCUGACCAAUAAGCCCCGGCUAACUCCGUGCCAGCAGCCGCGGUAAUACGAAGGGGGCAAGCGUUACUCGGAAUUACUGGGUGUAAAGGGCGCGUAGGCGGUAAUGCAAGUCAGAUGUGAAAUCCUAGGGCUUAACCACGGGACUGCAUUUGGAACUGUAAGGCUGGAGUACAGGAGAGGUAGGUGGAAUGCGUGGUGUAGCGGUGAAAUGCGUAGAUAUCAGGAGGAACACCGGUUGCGAAGGCGGCCUGCUGGACCGUGACUGACGCUGAGGCGCGAAAGCGUGGGGAGCAAACAGGAUUAGAUACCCUGGUAGUC